GAUGAAGAACGUAGUGAAAUGCGAUACGUAAUGUGAAUUGCAGAAUUCAGUGAAUCAUCGAAUCUUUGAACGCUUAUUGCGAUCUCUGGUAUUCCGGAGAGCAUGCUUGUUUGAGUAUCAGUAAACACCUCAACUCCCUUUUCUUUUUUGAAAUUGGAGCUGGACUUGAGUGAUCCCAACGCUUUCUUCCAAGAAAGUGGCGGGUUGCUUGAAAUGCAGGUGCAGCUGAACUUUUCUCUGAGCUAUAAGCAUAUCUAUUUAGUCUGCCUAAAAAACAGAUUAUUACCUUUGCUGCAGCUAACAUAAAGGAGACUAGUUCUUGUGAUGACUGAUGCAGGAUUCACAGAGACAGCUUCGGCUGACUUUGUAAACUCGAUCUCAAAUCAAGUAAGACUACCCGCUGAACUUAAGCAUAUCAAUAAGCGGAGGA
RNAcentral lists this unclassified non-coding RNA (430 nucleotides) under soil metagenome. Its description in RNAcentral is "partial contains 5.8S ribosomal RNA, internal transcribed spacer 2, and large subunit ribosomal RNA". The stretch from base 1 to 120 matches the Rfam family "5.8S ribosomal RNA", at positions 35 to 154 of the family's 154-position model. The record is from RNAcentral.